CAUGGGGUGAAAGCAUCCGAGGUAAUUGGAAAAACGGGGCUGGAAAGUUCAGGAAAGAGCCUGGGCUCAUUCAUGGGGAGCUUCAUCUGUUUAUAAGUGGUCACUGACAAGACCCAAAUUCAACUUCCAUGAAGUGACUGAAAAUAUUGGGGGUGGACAAAGAAAGGUGACAGGCAUGGCAAGAAAGACAUCUAAAGAAGUAUUCUUUGGGGCACCUAGUUGGCUCAGACUAUAAGGUGAGUAUACACAACUCUUGACCUCAAGGUUGUAAGUUCGAGCCCCAUGCAGAGAUCACUCAAAAAUAAAAUCUUAAAAGAAAAAAAAAGGGGGGGGGUGGUAUUCUUGAACACAGGAAUUCCAACAGAUCUCCAGGAAUCUUCCUAAGUCCACUUUCUAAAUUUUAGCCAGAAGCCAAACUUCCUUCCUGAAAAGGUGGGCAUCAAGUGUAGAAGAUAAACUUUAAUCCAAGAACAUACAGUACAUUUGUCAUGAGGACGUGCAGCAGAGAUGAAAAGGCUGACAAGGCAGAGUUAGACUACUAGAAUGUAUCAGUGUCCCUCUAUCUCCAGUGCUGAUCAAGGGAAAGGAUGCGUUCACUGAUUCCAUGGAAGUUUCCCAGUCUUGCCGGCAGAUAAACCCCUGAAAAGCAGAAUGCCCUACAAGGCAACAUUCAUUCAGAAUCGGAUAAAGAAAGCAUGGCACAAUUGUGACUUCAAAAAAGGAGUGGCUGCAGGGCGCAUGGAUGGCUCAGUUGGCUAAACGUCUGACUUCGGUUCAGGUCAUGAUCUCAUGGUCCAGAGUUCGAGCCCCACAUGGAGUUCUUUGCUGACCGCUCAGAGCCUGGAGCCUGCUUCAGAUUCUG
Long non-coding RNA from Felis catus (domestic cat), 862 nucleotides. RefSeq lists it as uncharacterized. NCBI's taxonomy places the organism in Eukaryota, Metazoa, Chordata, Mammalia, Carnivora, Felidae. The record is from RefSeq and is a predicted model, not a curated record. The transcript has 3 exons.